GAAAGAAAAAACCACCCCCCCACUCCCAAGUCCGGCGCCUCCAGCCCAGCCCAGCCCAGCCCAGCCUUGCCUGCCCCGGCGCAGCUCCCCGCUCUCGGCCAGGGGCAAAGAGAAAACGAGAAGUGUCCGCACGGGGAACCAACAAGGGAUCGGGGAAGAGAAACAUCCCGACCCCGGCGAGAGCCCGGAGCAGCCCCGGCGCGGCGCGGAGCACCUCUCCCGGGCGUUGGGAACUCACCGCUCCCCUCCUGCCGCCCGGGAAGCGGAGGGGGGAGGGGGGGAAACUUUUCAGUGGUAUUUUCUGAGCUCUUUGGGCAGAGAUGGAUCUACUCCGUGCCGGGGUCCGCCUCCUCCCUCGCGCACCCCGGGAAGAACCGAAUCCGCCCGGACGGAAACUUCGCAGCUCCCCAGCGCCGCACACGCCCGCGCGGGCGGGCGCCCCGCACACGCGCCUCCACUUGCACGGCCCUCCCGCCUCUGCAUUUCCAACUCCAUCAGCUCCUCCGUCCGAUCCCCGCUGCCCCUUCCCCUAACCCCUGCCUGAACAUGAUUCCCAUUUCCCACUUCAUUCCAUAUUUGUGGAUUGAGGUGUUUUAGCAUCAAUUCCCCCCUAUGCGCUGUGCAGUCAGUUUGGUACGUAUCAAAGCCGGAACUUGUUCAUUAAAUAAAAUAAAAUAAAAACAAUGGUUUGGAGAACGGCAAAUUCUUCUGAAGAGAUUCAGUUUGAUAACUUUUAUUUUUCGUUUCUCUGCUCCCCCGCCAGGAUCAAAA
This is a long non-coding RNA of Gavialis gangeticus (Gharial), 771 nucleotides long. RefSeq lists it as uncharacterized. NCBI's taxonomy places the organism in Eukaryota, Metazoa, Chordata, Crocodylia, Gavialidae. The transcript has 3 exons. The record is from RefSeq and is a predicted model, not a curated record.